UAAAAAAUUUUCGUUGUUGCUGAAAUAUUAGAACAGAUAGUUCCCAUAACUAAUACAAUUUAAGUAAAAUUACUCAAAAUGUCCAAGACAUGCUGUUACGCAUGCGCACUGGGCGACAAUUGCCCCUCCCCCACGUCGCAGAAGCACAACGGCUGAGGAUUCAACGUGUGUUUGCAGAGGAUCUUGUUCGGUAAAAUCAAGAAUACCAGUUGAUGACUGCUGUGCAGUGGAAAUAUCGAUCAUCUUGCUUGAUAAAACUCAGUAUAUCAUCAGGAGCAACAGGCCACAUUUUCAGCUAAAAAUCUUCUUUGCUGUUCUGCUGAAGAAAAAUACUCAUCAACAUCUUGGGUGGCAUAAGGAUUUUUGCAGGAUUCAGUCGCAUAUCUCGGAUCUGAGUUCUGCGCAGCAUUGGACACAGACUCUGCACUUUUGACAUUUUCUAGAAAAAAGGAUUUUAAAUUUCACAUCAAGUUCAUUAAAAGUCAUCUGAUGUUUGCACUGCAGUACUUCAGGGCCUUUCAGUCAUCCUGGAGGAUGACCCACAGGAAUUUUACAGGAUGUGUUUCGAUGUGGAUGCAGACUUCAGUCAAGCAGUUGUAGACCUGCUCACAGUUCUACCAGAGGACAUGCCCUCAUUGUGGAUGCAAUAAAGGCAAUCAUGGAGGGAAGAAUUGUCAUGGAUGGGUUUUACAGGCCUGUAUUUUAUUUUUGCUGUUCUGUUUGCAUGCCAUUCUGAAAAUGCUGUAUUUUUUUAAGUAUUCCAGUAGGUCCAAAUAAUGUUAUGACAACAAAGUGCUGUUUAGUUAAGAAGUCUGUAAAGAGUAUU
Molecule: long non-coding RNA, 826 nt
Organism: Labeo rohita (rohu)
Lineage: Eukaryota; Metazoa; Chordata; Actinopteri; Cypriniformes; Cyprinidae
Exons: 7
Source: RefSeq, a predicted model, not a curated record